This 412-nucleotide unclassified non-coding RNA is filed under the name soil metagenome. RNAcentral describes it as "partial contains 5.8S ribosomal RNA, internal transcribed spacer 2, and large subunit ribosomal RNA". The stretch from base 1 to 120 matches the Rfam family "5.8S ribosomal RNA", at positions 35 to 154 of the family's 154-position model. The record is from RNAcentral.
GAUGAAGAACGUAGCGAAAUGCGAUACGUAGUGUGAAUUGCAGAAUUCCGUGAACCAUCAAAUCUUUGAACGCAUAUUGCGCUCGAGGCUUCGGCCGAGAGCAUGUCUGCCUCAGCGUCGGUAUUACCCCUCGUUUCUCAACCCCUGGUUGAUGCCUGCCUGCCUUUGCAGUUGGCUAGAAGCGGAUCUGGCUUUCCCAAUUGCCUUUGGUAGUUGGGUCAGCUGAAGCACAGAGGCUUGAGCAAGGACCCUUAUUGGGCUUCAACUGGAUAGGUAGAACUGGUCUUAGGACCAACUACACGAAGUUGUUGCUUGUGGUCUUUGUCUGGAGGCCAGCAGGAAACCUUUAUACCUUCGACCUGAGCUCAGGCAAGAUUACCCGCUGAACUUAAGCAUAUCAAUAAGCGGAGGA